RNAcentral lists this long non-coding RNA (390 nucleotides) under Zonotrichia albicollis (white-throated sparrow). RNAcentral's name for it is "lncRNA (ENSZALG00000014104.1)". Lineage: Eukaryota; Metazoa; Chordata; Aves; Passeriformes; Passerellidae. The record is from RNAcentral.
CGCGGAAGCAGCGCGCAUGCUCCGCUGCCUUUUAUGAAUGGGGGCUGGAGGGGAGCGCGGAUGCGGCUCCCGGGGUUUUUUUUUUUUUCCCUUUUUUUUUUUUGAAUGAAGGGCAGCGGCAGCUGCGCAUGCACCGCGCCCCCCGCCCGGGGCUGGAGGCACUCAUCCGCUUCCAGCCGUUCUGCUCGCGGGAAGAUAAAUGGAGGGGAGGAAUCCUGGGCAUGGCUGCACGGGAGCGGGCUCGCAGCGCGCUGGGUGAUGCACAACAGCUUCUCCAGGCACGUUUCUCCCCCUCCCUCCACGGUAAAUCGCAGCCAGACAUUGAUUAGUUCAGUUUGGGGGGAAAAGGAGCCGUGCAGGACAACUGGAGACUGGAGCAGAGAUUGCUGA